RNAcentral lists this ribosomal RNA (432 nucleotides) under uncultured bacterium. Its description in RNAcentral is "partial 16S ribosomal RNA". It matches the Rfam family "Bacterial small subunit ribosomal RNA", at positions 29 to 506 of the family's 1533-position model. The record is from RNAcentral.
AACGAACGCUGGCGGCAUGCCUAACACAUGCAAGUCGAACGAGACCUUCGGGUCUAGUGGCGCACGGGUGCGUAACGCGUGGGAACCUGCCCUUAGGUUCGGAAUAACUCCCCGAAAGGGGUGCUAAUACCGGAUAAUGUCUUCGGACCAAAGAUUUAUCGCCUUUGGAUGGGCCCGCGUUGGAUUAGCUAGUUGGUAGGGUAAAAGCCUACCAAGGCGACGAUCCAUAGCUGGUCUGAGAGGAUGAUCAGCCACACUGGGACUGAGACACGGCCCAGACUCCGACGGGAGGCAGCAGGGGGGAAUAUUGGACAAUGGGCGAAAGCCUGAUCCAGCAAUGCCGCGUGAGUGAUGAAGGCCUUAGGGUUGUAAAGCUCUUUUACCCGGGAUGAUAAUGACAGUACCGGGAGAAUAAGCUCCGGCUAACUCCGU